GGCAGACGGGUGAGUAACGCGUGGGAAUAUACCCAGUUCUACGGAAUAACAGUUAGAAAUGACUGCUAAUACCGUAUACGCCCUUCGGGGGAAAGAUUUAUCGGAAUUGGAUUAGCCCGCGUUUGAUUAGCUUGUUGGUGAGGUAAUGGCUCACCAAGGCUACGAUCAAUAGCUGGUCUGAGAGGAUGAUCAGCCACACUGGGACUGAGACACGGCCCAGACUCCUACGGGAGGCAGCAGUGGGGAAUAUUGGACAAUGGGCGCAAGCCUGAUCCAGCCAUUCCGCGUGAGUGAUGACGGCCCUAGGGUUGUAAAGCUCUUUCAACGGUGAAGAUAAUGACGGUAACCGUAGAAGAAGCCCCGGCUAACUUCGUGCCAGCAGCCGCGGUAAUACGAAGGGGGCUAGCGUUGUUCGGAAUUACUGGGCGUAAAGCGCACGUAGGCGGAUUGUUAAGUUAGGGGUGAAAUCCCGGGGCUCAACCCCGGAACUGCCUUUAAUACUGGCAAUCUAGAGAUCUAGAGAGGUGAGUGGAAUUCCGAGUGUAGAGGUGAAAUUCGUAGAUAUUCGGAGGAACACCAGUGGCGAAGGCGGCUCACUGGCUAGAUACUGACGCUGAGGUGCGAAAGUGUGGGGAGCAAACAGGAUUAGAUACCCUGGUAGUCCACACCGUAAACGAUGAGAGCUAGCUGUCGGGUAGCAUGCUAUUCGGUGGCGCAGUUAACACAUUAAGCUCUCCGCCUGGGGAGUACGGUCGCAAGAUUAAAACUCAAAG
RNAcentral lists this ribosomal RNA (773 nucleotides) under uncultured bacterium. Its description in RNAcentral is "bacterial SSU rRNA". It matches the Rfam family "Bacterial small subunit ribosomal RNA", at positions 97 to 906 of the family's 1533-position model. The record is from RNAcentral.